UACGUAGGGAGCAAGCGUUGUCCGGAUUCACUGGGUGUAAAGGGUGCGUAGGCGGGAGAAUAAGUCAGCGGUGAAAUCUUACGGCUCAACCGUGAAACUGCCGUUGAUACUGUUUUUCUUGAGUUCGGGAGAGGUUGAUGGAAUUCCAGGUGUAGCGGUGAAAUGCGUAGAUAUCUGGAGGAACACCGAUGGCGAAGGCAGCCCCCUGGGUCAAGACUGACGCUCAUGCACGAAAGCGUGGGGAGCAAACAGG
This 253-nucleotide ribosomal RNA is filed under the name uncultured bacterium. RNAcentral describes it as "partial 16S ribosomal RNA". It matches the Rfam family "Bacterial small subunit ribosomal RNA", at positions 524 to 776 of the family's 1533-position model. The record is from RNAcentral.